This 253-nucleotide ribosomal RNA is filed under the name uncultured bacterium. RNAcentral's name for it is "partial 16S ribosomal RNA". It matches the Rfam family "Bacterial small subunit ribosomal RNA", at positions 524 to 776 of the family's 1533-position model. The record is from RNAcentral.
UACGUAGGGUGCAAGCGUUGUCCGGAAUUAUUGGGCGUAAAGAGCUCGUAGGCGGUUUGUCACGUCGGCUGUGAAAACCCGAGGCUCAACCUCGAGCCUGCAUUCGAUACUGGGCGGCUAGAGUCUGGUAGGGGGAUCUGGAAUUCCUGGUGUAGCGGUGGAAUGCGCAGAUAUCAGGAGGAACACCGGUGGCGAAGGCGGGAUCCUGGGCCAGUACUGACGCUGAGGAGCGAAAGCGUGGGGAGCAAACAGG